RNAcentral lists this ribosomal RNA (379 nucleotides) under uncultured Acidithiobacillus sp. RNAcentral's name for it is "bacterial SSU rRNA". It matches the Rfam family "Bacterial small subunit ribosomal RNA", at positions 495 to 873 of the family's 1533-position model. The record is from RNAcentral. Lineage: Bacteria; Pseudomonadati; Pseudomonadota; Acidithiobacillia; Acidithiobacillales; Acidithiobacillaceae.
GGCUAAAUCCGUGCCAGCAGCCGCGGUAAUACGGGGGGUGCAAGCGUUAAUCGGAAUCACUGGGCGUAAAGGGUGCGUAGGCGGUACGUUAGGUCUGUCGUGAAAUCCCCGGGCUCAACCUGGGAAUGGCGGUAGAAACCGGCGCACUAGAGUAUGGGAGAGGGUGGUGGAAUUCCAGGUGUAGCGGUGAAAUGCGUAGAGAUCUGGAGGAACAUCAGUGGCGAAGGCGGCCACCUGGCCCAAUACUGACGCUGAGGCACGAAAGCGUGGGGAGCAAACAGGAUUAGAUACCCUGGUAGUCCACGCCCUAAACGAUGAAUACUAGAUGUUUGGUACCUAGCGUACUGAGUGUCGUAGCUAACGCGAUAAGUAUUCCGCC